RNAcentral lists this ribosomal RNA (497 nucleotides) under uncultured bacterium. RNAcentral's name for it is "partial 16S ribosomal RNA". It matches the Rfam family "Bacterial small subunit ribosomal RNA", at positions 28 to 507 of the family's 1533-position model. The record is from RNAcentral.
GAUGAACGCUGGCGGCGUGCCUAAUACAUGCAAGUCGAGCGAACAGACGAGGAGCUUGCUCCUCUGACGUUAGCGGCGGACGGGUGAGUAACACGUGGAUAACCUACCUAUAAGACUGGGAUAACUUCGGGAAACCGGAGCUAAUACCGGAUAAUAUAUAGAACCGCAUGGUUCAAUAGUGAAAGACGGUUUUGCUGUCACUUAUAGAUGGAUCCGCGCCGCAUUAGCUAGUUGGUAAGGUAACGGCUUACCAAGGCAACGAUGCGUAGCCGACCUGAGAGGGUGAUCGGCCACACUGGAACUGAGACACGGUCCAGACUCCUACGGGAGGCAGCAGUAGGGAAUCUUCCGCAAUGGGCGAAAGCUUGACGGAGCAACGCCGCGUGAGUGAUGAAGGUCUUCGGAUCGUAAAACUCUGUUAUUAGGGAAGAACAAAUGUGUAAGUAACUAUGCACGUCUUGACGGUACCUAAUCAGAAAGCCACGGCUAACUACGUG